This 284-nucleotide long non-coding RNA is filed under the name Panax ginseng (ginseng). RNAcentral describes it as "long non-coding RNA (PGIN_LNC006630)". Lineage: Eukaryota; Viridiplantae; Streptophyta; Magnoliopsida; Apiales; Araliaceae. The record is from RNAcentral.
UAUAUGAUAGUAUGUUUUUUUAUAAUUUGAAUGGUAACAUUAUUAUAGUAAAUUCAUGGUAUAAAAGUAAAAUGAGGUGAAAGAGAACAAUUUGAAUUUGAAUUCUGAUGAUGUAAGCGAUGAUGUCAUCGGAACGAUGAGGUAAGCAAUGAUGUCAUCAGAAGGAUGAUGUAAGCAAUGAUGUCAUUUGAUCGAUGAUGUAAGCAAUGAUGUCAUAUGAUCGAUGAUGUAAGCGAUGAUGUCAUAAAUUAUGGCGAAAAGACUAUUUUACCCUUACUCUACCA